Megalobrama amblycephala (Wuchang bream) is the source of this 975-nucleotide long non-coding RNA. RefSeq lists it as uncharacterized. The transcript is spliced from 2 exons. NCBI's taxonomy places the organism in Eukaryota, Metazoa, Chordata, Actinopteri, Cypriniformes, Xenocyprididae. The record is from RefSeq and is a predicted model, not a curated record.
CAACAGCACUCAAAGCUUCACAUUUUUAAAAUUUCACUAUCGAUUGGUACCGAAGUCGGUACUUUUGACAACUCUAAUAGCUUCAUAGAGUUUAGGGAUCUAUCCAGUUGGAGGAAAACAAUCUUUUGGUAUUUUGAGCCGAUUUUUUGUUACGUGUCUCCUAGCAACGAGGCGCCGGAUUCUGCGUGAGUCUGUUGUGUAGACGAAUUCUGUCAUUUUUUACUUGAUUUAUGACAAUUAAGUAGUGCCACAGUAAAUGUGAUUGAAAAUGUAAUUUUGCAGUCCGAAAAAGGUGGUGUACGGUGAAAUAAUCGCAAGAAAACAUAUCUUAAUUUCUGUUUCUGCAUUGAAAGUCUGUUAGUGUUUCCUCAGUCCUUUGAUACACCUGUAUGAGCAGUCACUUUUUAAGGCAGCAUCUUAACCUUAAGAGGAACUUCAUAAGCGAUUUAAAACAUUCUUGCAGGCAGCAGUCCAUGAGAAACACAAAUAAUGUUCCUCACGUGAGCAUGGGAAAUUCGACUAAUUCCAGUAGGUAUUAUUGUUUUGAUGUUUGCGUGCUGCUUAGCAAAGCCCAUUAAUGUGCAUAAAAAUGCUAUUUAAAAAUGACCUAUUUAAUAUACCUGUUUAUUAGAAAUUUAAUUAUUUUUCAUGCAAUACCAACAAAUUUCUCAGCUAACCUAGAUGUUUUUUUCCCAAUUAGCUUGUUGCACUGCAUUAUGGGAUUUUUUUCCAUGAAGAAAAUGUGAGUUUCAAUCAACUGUGAGUGCCCUGUGAAGUGGACUUCAGCCAACUUAAAUGUACGUCAUUGCUUACAUUGCACGAGUGGCCACUAAUGGCGGAACACUUGCAAAAGGUUUAAAUGGAACGCACUAAACCACUGAUCACUUGGAAAUCUGUUAAGCGAGUUGCUGUUGUGACGUCAAAAUUAUGUUGCAUUGUGUAUAUGAGAAGUGUAUUAAAGAUUAUUAUUUGUUU